This 406-nucleotide ribosomal RNA is filed under the name uncultured bacterium. Its description in RNAcentral is "partial 16S ribosomal RNA". It matches the Rfam family "Bacterial small subunit ribosomal RNA", at positions 30 to 526 of the family's 1533-position model. The record is from RNAcentral.
AUUGAACGCUGGCGGCAGGCUUAACACAUGCAAGUCGAGCGAGCGGCGGACGGGUGAGUAAUGUAUGGGAAACUGCCUGAUGGAGGGGGAUAACUACUGGAAACGGUAGCUAAUACCGCAUACCAUCAGAUGUGCCCAGAUGGGAUUAGCUAGUAGGUGGGGUAAUGGCUCACCUAGGCGACGAUCCCUAGCUGGUCUGAGAGGAUGACCAGCCACCCUGGAACUGAGACACGGUCCAGACUCCUACGGGAGGCAGCAGUGGGGAAUAUUGCACAAUGGGCGCAAGCCUGAUGCAGCCAUGCCGCGUGUGUGAAGAAGGCCUUCGGGUUGUAAAGCACUUUCAGCGGGGAGGCGUUACUGGCAGAAGAAGCACCGGCUAACUCCGUGCCAGCAGCCGCGGUAAUUC